RNAcentral lists this ribosomal RNA (446 nucleotides) under uncultured bacterium. RNAcentral's name for it is "partial 16S ribosomal RNA". It matches the Rfam family "Bacterial small subunit ribosomal RNA", at positions 338 to 795 of the family's 1533-position model. The record is from RNAcentral.
CCUACGGGUGGCAGCAGUCGAGAAUCAUUCACAAUGGGGGAAACCCUGAUGGUGCGACGCCGCGUGGGGGAAUGAAGGUCUUCGGAUUGUAAACCCCUGUCAUGUGGGAGCAAAUUAAAAAGAUAGUACCACAAGAGGAAGAGACGGCUAACUCUGUGCCAGCAGCCGCGGUAAUACAGAGGUCUCAAGCGUUGUUCGGAAAGACUGGGCGUAAAUCGUGCGUAGGCUAUUUCGUAAGUCGUGUGUGAAAGGCGCGGGCUCAACCCGCGGCGGGCACAUGAUACUGGGAGACUAGAGUAAGGGAGGGGGAACCGGAAUUCGCGGUGUAGCAGUGAAAUGCGUAGAUAUCGAGAGGAACACUCGUGGCGAAGGCGGGUUACUGGACAUUAACUGACGCUGAGGCACGAAGGCCAGGGGAGCGAAAGGGAUUAGAUACCCUUGUAGUC